UACGUAGGGAGCAAGCGUUGUCCGGAAUCAUUGGGCGUAAAGCGCGCGUAGGUGGCUUCGUAAGUCCGUUGUGAAAGUCGGGGGCUCAACCCUCGGAUGCCGGUGGAUACUGUCGGGCUUGAGUACGGAAGAGGCGAGUGGAAUUCCUGGUGUAGCGGUGAAAUGCGUAGAUAUCGGGAGGAACACCAGUGGCGAAGGCGACUACCUGGCCUGUUCUUGACGCUGAGGCGCGAAAGCUAGGGGAGCAAACGGG
RNAcentral lists this ribosomal RNA (253 nucleotides) under uncultured bacterium. RNAcentral's name for it is "partial 16S ribosomal RNA". It matches the Rfam family "Bacterial small subunit ribosomal RNA", at positions 524 to 776 of the family's 1533-position model. The record is from RNAcentral.